This 253-nucleotide ribosomal RNA is filed under the name uncultured bacterium. RNAcentral's name for it is "partial 16S ribosomal RNA". It matches the Rfam family "Bacterial small subunit ribosomal RNA", at positions 524 to 776 of the family's 1533-position model. The record is from RNAcentral.
UACGUAGGGUGCAAGCGUUGUCCGGAAUUAUUGGGCGUAAAGCGCACGUAGGCGGUUUGUUAAGUCGGAUGUGAAAUCCCUCGGCUCAACUGAGGAAGUGCAUCCGAAACUGGCAAGCUUGAGUACGAAAGAGGGUCGCGGAAUUCCCGGUGUAGAGGUGAAAUUCGUAGAUAUCGGGAGGAACACCGGUGGCGAAGGCGGCGACCUGGGUCGAUACUGACGCUGAGGUGCGAAAGCGUGGGGAGCAAACAGG